RNAcentral lists this small RNA (297 nucleotides) under Clohesyomyces aquaticus. RNAcentral describes it as "5' ureB small RNA". It matches the Rfam family "5' ureB small RNA". The record is from Rfam by way of RNAcentral. Lineage: Eukaryota; Fungi; Ascomycota; Dothideomycetes; Pleosporales; Lindgomycetaceae.
CGAUUCGUACGCUUGCUGAGGACAGAUGAAGUGGAUAUGAGAGUCAAGCCCUCCAGCCGUGACGAUACUGUGCUCUCCCGCAACCACAUCUGUGCAGGAUCCAACGACCAGGCUAGAAUCAACUCCGUCCAUCACGUCCGGAUUUCCAGCUUUACCAAUACCAACAAUGAUGCCAUCUUUAAUACCAAUAUCUGCUUUGUAGAUGCCGGACCAAUCGACAAUCAAGGCAUUUGUGAUAACAGUGUCCAAGCUGUCCUUGUCUGAGCGUCCUCCAGCUUGACCCAUGCCUUCUCUUAG